RNAcentral lists this ribosomal RNA (816 nucleotides) under Triticum aestivum (bread wheat). RNAcentral describes it as "partial small subunit ribosomal RNA". The record is from RNAcentral. Lineage: Eukaryota; Viridiplantae; Streptophyta; Magnoliopsida; Poales; Poaceae.
AGAACAAAGGGGGGGAUGGGAUUCAGGGAUCUACAUAGUUUUAACCUUGCUUUGUUGGCCAAGCAAGUAUGGAGAUUAUUGGAAAAUCCAGAUUCUUUGUGUGCGCAGGUCCUUAGAUCGAAAUACUACCCGGACGGGAAACUUUUGGAAGCGAAGAUGAAGAGUGGAUGUUCAUUCACAUGGCAGAGUAUAUGUGCUGGCAUUCAUACCUUCAAAAGAGGGGCCAUUUGGAGGAUAGGCGAUGGAUCACAAGUUAAUAUUUGGUCUGACCCAUGGAUAGCAGCGAGUGCGGAUGGACGUGUAGUCACCCCGAGAGGAGCAAAUCUGUUGUCAAAGGUAUCUAACCUGAUCGACCCGGCAACAGGAGUGUGGGAUCAUGAGCUUAUCAUGGAUAUGUUCUGGCAGGUGGAUGCGGAGAGAAUCCUUGCUAUUCCGCUGGCGCCGCCAGGAGUGAUGGAUGAUUUUGUGGCAUGGAGGUUCACAAAGAACAACAUAUUCACGGUUAGGUCGGCAUAUCAUGCAGAGUGGGAUCAUCAGUUCGGACAUUGGUUUGAGUGAACGGAAGGCCAACCAUCACAACAAUAUCCAGUCUAGGCAAAAUUGUGGGAAUCUUCACUGCCGGGUAAAGUGAAGAUACAUGCAUGGAAAGUGCUGCAUGGGUUUUUGCCAUGCUUUGGAGUCCUUGCGAACCGUCAUAUAGCGAUGCCCAAGAGCUGUCCAAUGUGUGCAGGAGGAUGCGAGGAUAUAAAGCAUGUGCUGUUUACUUGUCCAAGGGCGGCUGAGAUAUGGAGAUGCCUGAAGUUGGAUGGCUUUGUG